AUUGAAAGCUGGCGGAAGGCCUAACACAUGCAAGUCGAACGAGUGGCGGACGGGAGAGUAAUGUCUGAGAACCUGCCAGAUGGAGGGGGAUAACUACUGGAAACGGUAGCUAAUCCCGCAUACCAUCGGAUGUGCCCAGAGGGGAUUAGCUAGUAGGUGGGGUAAUGGCUCACCUGGGAGACGAUCCCUAGCUGGUCUGAGAGGAUGACCAGCCAGACUGGAACUGAGACACGGUCCAGACUCCUACGGGAGGCAGCAGUGGGGAAUAUUGCACAAUGGGCGCAAGCCUGAUGCAGCCAUGCCGCGUGUAUGAAGAAGGCCUUCGGGUUGUAAAGUACUUUCAGCGAGGAGGCGUUACUCGCAGAAGAAGCACCGGCGAACUCCGUGCCAGCAGCCGCGGUAAUAC
Molecule: ribosomal RNA, 406 nt
Filed under: uncultured bacterium
Lineage: Bacteria
Description: partial 16S ribosomal RNA
Rfam family: Bacterial small subunit ribosomal RNA
Source: RNAcentral